GUUAUUGGGUAUCAAAACCUAAUAGCGAAAUUAACAUAACUUUUAUGGGAUUAGUUUUUAGAUUAUUUAUAGUCUAUUAAUUCAAUCCCGGGGCGUUCUAUAUAGUUAUGUAUAAUAAUAUUUAUAUUAUUUAUACCUCUAACUAGAGCGUACCUUGAGCAUAUAUGCUGUGACCCGAAAGAUGGUGAACUAUACUUGAUCAGGUUGAAGUCAGGGGAAACCCUGAUGGAAGACCGAAACAGUUCUGACGUGCAAAUCGAUUGUCAGAAUUGAGUAUAGGGGCGAAAGACCAAUCGAACCAUCUAGUAGCUGGUUCCCUCCGAAGUUUCCCUCAGGAUAGCUGGUGCAUUUAAAUAUUAUGUAAAAUAAUCUUAUCUGGUAAAGCGAAUGAUUAGAGGCCUUAGGGUCGAAACGACCUUAACCUAUUCUCAAACUUUAAAUGGGUAAGAACCUCACCUUUCUUGGUAUGAAGGUUGUGGUUGUGAUAUAAUGUGCCCAGUGGGCCACUUUUGGUAAGCAGAACUGGCGCUGUGGGAUGAACCAAACGUAAUGUUACGGUGCCCAAAUUAACAACUCAUGCAGAUACCAUGAAAGGCGUUGGUUGCUUAAAACAGC
This 615-nucleotide ribosomal RNA is filed under the name Ravinia sp. ESW-2015a. Its description in RNAcentral is "eukaryotic LSU rRNA". It matches the Rfam family "Eukaryotic large subunit ribosomal RNA", at positions 690 to 1241 of the family's 3401-position model. Lineage: Eukaryota; Metazoa; Arthropoda; Insecta; Diptera; Sarcophagidae. The record is from RNAcentral.